Molecule: ribosomal RNA, 617 nt
Filed under: Candida dubliniensis
Lineage: Eukaryota; Fungi; Ascomycota; Pichiomycetes; Serinales; Debaryomycetaceae
Description: eukaryotic LSU rRNA
Rfam family: Eukaryotic large subunit ribosomal RNA
Source: RNAcentral
UGCAUACAAAAAAGCGGAGGAAAAGAAACCAACAGGGAUUGCCUCAGUAGCGGCGAGUGAAGCGGCAAAAGCUCAAAAUUGAAAACUGGCGUCUUUGGCGUCCCAGUUGUAAAUUGAAGAAGGUAUCUUUGGGCCCCGCUCUUGUCUAUGUUCCUUGGAACAGGACGUCACAGAGGGUGAGAAACCCCUGCGAUGAGAUGGCCCCGGUCUAUGUAAAGUUCCUUCGACGAGUCGAGUUGUUUGGGAAAGCAGCUCUAAGUGGGUGGUAAAAUCCAUCUAAAGCUAAAAAUUGGCGAGAGACCCAUAGCGAACAAGUACAGUGAUGGAAAGAUGAAAAGAACUUUGAAAAGAGAGUGAAAAAGUACGUGAAAAUGUUGAAAGGGAAGGGCUUGAGAUCAGACUUGGUAUUUUGCAAGUUACUCUUUCGGGGGUGGCCUCUGCGGUUUACCCGGCCAGCAUCGGUUUGGAGCGGUAGGAUAAAGGCGGGGGAAUGUGGCACGACUUUGGUUGUGUGUUAUAGCCUCUGACGAUACUGCCAGCCUAGACCCAGGACUGCGGUUUUUACCUAGGAUGUUGGCAUAAAGAUCUUAAGUCGCCCCUCUUGAACCAACGGGACC